GGAGUCUGGUCCGUGUCUCAGUACCAGUGUGGGGGGCCACCCUCUCAGGCCCCCUACCCAUCGUAGGAACGGUGGGCCGUUACCCCGCCGUCUUCCUAAUGGGACGCAUGCCCAUCCGCAUCCGCCGAAGCUAUCCAUCAAAGGCCAUGCGGCCCCAAAUGACCACGGGGUAUUAAUCCGCCUUUCGGCGGGCUGUCCCCCGGAUGCGGGCAGGUUGCAUACGCGUUACGCACCCGUGCGCCGGUCGCCGCCAGGGUAUUGCUACCCCGCGCUGCCCCUCGACUUGCAUGUGUUAGGCCUGCCGCUAGCGUUCAUC
RNAcentral lists this ribosomal RNA (316 nucleotides) under uncultured Bacteroidales bacterium. Its description in RNAcentral is "partial 16S ribosomal RNA". The record is from RNAcentral. Lineage: Bacteria; Pseudomonadati; Bacteroidota; Bacteroidia; Bacteroidales.